GAUGAACGCUCGCUACAGGCUUAACACAUGCAAGUCGCGGGGCAGCAUGGGGGUUGCUUGCAAUCCCCGAUGGCGACCGGCGCACGGGUGAGUAACGCGUAUUCAACCUGCCCUUCACCACGGGAUAACCCGGCGAAAGUCGGACUAAUACCGUAUGUUGUCCAUUGACGGCAUCCGAUUUGGACGAAAGGCUUGGCGGUGAGGGAUGGGGAUGCGUCCGAUUAGCCAGACGGCGGGGUGACGGCCCACCGUGGCUACGAUCGGUAGGGGUUCUGAGAGGAAGGUCCCCCACACUGGAACUGAGACACGGUCCAGACUCCUACGGGAGGCAGCAGUGAGGAAUAUUGGUCAAUGGGCGUAAGCCUGAACCAGCCAAGUAGCGUGCAGGAUGACGGCCCUAUGGGUUGUAAACUGCUUUUAUGCGGGGAUAAAGUGGCCCACGUGUGGGCUUUUGCAGGUACCGCAUGAAUAAGGACCGGCUAAUUCCGUG
Molecule: ribosomal RNA, 490 nt
Filed under: uncultured bacterium
Lineage: Bacteria
Description: partial 16S ribosomal RNA
Rfam family: Bacterial small subunit ribosomal RNA
Source: RNAcentral